Molecule: ribosomal RNA, 733 nt
Filed under: uncultured organism
Description: bacterial SSU rRNA
Rfam family: Bacterial small subunit ribosomal RNA
Source: RNAcentral
CGGCGCGCUUAAUGCAUGCAAGUCGAGCGAUGAUGACCUCUUCGGGGGGUACAUCAGCGGCAGACGGGUGAGUAACACGUAGGUGAUCUACCCCAGAGACGGGGAUAACGGGUGGAAACAUCCGCUAAUACCGGAUAGACUUGUUCGGUCAAAGGGACAAGGAAAGGCUCCGGCGCUCUGGGAGGAGCCUGCGGCCCAUCAGCUAGUUGGCGGGGUAACGGCCCACCAAGGCAAAGACGGGUAGGGGGUGUGAGAGCAUGGCCCCCCACAAUGGGACUGGAACACGGCCCAUACUCCUACGGGAGGCAGCAGCAGGGAAUAUUGCACAAUGGACGGAAGUCUGAUGCAGCGACGCCGCGUGGAUGAAGAAGGCCCUCGGGUUGUAAAAUCCUUUACGGGGGGAAGAGGAAGGACGGUACCCCUGGAACAAGUGUCGGCUAACUACGUGCCAGCAGCCGCGGUAAGACGUAAGGACACAAGCGUUAUCCGGAUUUACUGGGCGUAAAGCGUCUGCAGGCGGACAGGUAAGUUGGGCGUGAAAGCUCCGGGCCCAACCCGGAGAGGUCGUUCAAUACUGCGUGUCUAGAGGGUGUCAGAGGGGAGUGGAACUUCCGGAGUAGCGGUAAAAUGCGCAGAGAUCGGAAAGAACACCAAUGGCGAAGGCAGCUCCCUGGGGCAACCCUGACGCUAAGAGACGAAAGCUAGGGGAGCGAACAGGAUUAGAGACCCUGGU